GGGGGCGGCGGGGCCGGGCGGGGGCCGGGCCGGGGGCGGUGCUGCCUCCGCGGCCGCGCGGGACAGACGGCAGCGGGAGCCGGGGCCGGAACCGGAGCCCGAGCCGGGCAGGAGGAGCCGCAGUGGGAGCCGGGCGUGGUGAGCGGAGAGCGGUGAGCGGAGCUGCCCCGGCCCCAGCGGGGUGGCCGCGGGCAGGAAGGUGCCGCGCUGCCGGUUGCGCCUGAGCCGGAGCAUCCCGGCGGGGUCAGCCGCCUUCAUUUUCCAAGGGAGGUGGGCACUCCGGGUUUGGGGUGCUUUUUUUCCCCCUGCCCUAGUACCCCGUGCGCGUUGUUCGUGCCCUCGGCCGGCAGAGCUGCCCGGCGGCCGGGCGCUGUUGCUCGCACGUCCCGCAGCGCCGGGGCUGCUCCUCCCGCUGUCCGGCACCGGCUGAGGCGGGUCCCGGCGGGUUUGGGAAGCCGCCGCGAGCUCAGGAGCAGCGCCCGCCGUGCCUCGCCGGUGCUGCUGCUCCGAGAGAACCUUCUCAGCGGUUUGCCUGUCCUGUGCCGUAACCAAGGGCAUUUGAUUUUCACAAACGUUUAACUGAGCUCUCCUCUGCUCUGGUGAACAGGCUUGCCUGCCUGCUGACUGCUACUUGCUAUAUCUAGUGCUUUUCUCACCAUGCAGUCCCUUUAGAUUUGGGCGUGAUAACCAACCUGCACAUUGGACAUUUGGCUUGUAUCCCCGUAUCUUCUUCCUGCUUUUCCAAAGGAUAUGAUCUUAAAUUGUCCUGGCUUGAGCAGUAAAGGAUAAAUUUGUUCACUGUCUGACUCGUCAUCUCACCGUUGUGAUGGAAAAAUGCUCGCUUAAUAUAAACCCUUUUUAUUUUACUAAAACCUUUGAAUACAAGAUCUGUUGUGAUUUUUAAAACUCAAAUCCAGUAAUGUCAGAACCUGACCCUUCAUCUGGAUUUGUAGGAAACAUGGAAAAUGGGACUUUUCUGGAGCUGUAUCCCACAUCUCUUUCAACUUCAGUGGAUUCAUCACCUGGCCGUUUAUCCAAUGUUUAUGUCUAUGUUUCUAUAUUCCUUAGCCUCUUAGCUUUUCUCCUUUUGCUGUUGAUCAUUGCACUGCAGAGGCUGAAAAACAUAAUUUCUUCCAGUUCCUCCUACCCAGAAUACAAUAGUGAUGCUGGAAGUUCAUUCACUAAUUUAGAGGUUUGUAGUAUUUCUUCCCAGCGCUCUGCUCUCUCAAACCUUUCUUCAUGAAACUAAAUGAAAGGUAAUACAUGGGGAAUGGGAGAGCUCUGUCUAGUUUCUUGGGGAGGUAAUGCAUGCAACAUUCGCCUUAGAAGACUGUUAUGAAGAGGAGGUUUUUUAAGUUUCCUUAUUUUUUCCCCUUUCCUUUUCUAGUCUUCAUUUCUUCUUUAACUAAUUUUCAUUUUGGACAAUGGAUAAUGAUACUUGAUCAUCAUUUCUUGCCUGUAAUAGUGAUGCUGUCUCUUUCUCACACAUAUAUGGUAUUCAUUAAGAGCAUUCCUGCCAAAUUGUAAUACAGUUUUAACUUGAUGUGUCAGUUUUCUGCCCUAGUUGUGACCCCUUCCUUGGUUUUGUGUCAGUAAUAUACUGACUAAUUUUCUUUCUCAUGUUUUAAUUAUAUAAGGACUUCUGAAUGAAAUCCCUAUUGCAAAAGUAUAAAAAAAAUCUGCUUAAAUUAUAAAUAUUAUGAAAAAUUGAAGCUGUUGGUAUUGUUUCUUUUUUUUUUUAAUUUUCAUGUCUUUUUUUGGUAUUUAUUGAUGUUUAUAAAACACAACUAAAAUCCAUUUCUUGAAGAAUAUUGCCUGUGUUUAUUUGUACUCCCAACUUGUUCUGUAUAAAGUCUGUAUUUCAGUUUUUGAGUCUCUGGUUAACUUAGUAAAGUGACUUUAAUAACAAUACUCAGUAUCGAAUGUGUGGAGGUAUUUUUAGACCCUGUUGCAGCUCAUUUGCUUAAUGACUUGUUCCUCCAGGGGGCAGCUUUUGCUGCUGAAUCAUAAAUACCACUCAACUCCUUUGCAUUCUUCACUAAUACUGUAGCUUAUUCUUACUGGAUACCGGGACAAACUAGUGAUUUCUUUUAAAAGACCUGCAAUCAACAAAUGUAGUUUUCAAGGGAAUAGCUCCUAAACUGUCCUUUAGGCACAAGAUAUUUGUACUCAUGUGAGCAGGGCUAGCAGGGACAGAAAUUACUUGUACUGGUGAAGACUUUCUGGGCCAGGUUUUGUCCUGUGAUUUCACAAAUGCACACUGGGGUGGAGCGAGGACUUGAGGAUCUGUGUUAUGGCCAGGCAGACCUGUGCCCUGACCGUCAGAGCUGUACCUGCAGAGAGCAGGAAGGGAUGGGCAGGAAAAUGGCAGUGGCCUUGCCUGUUUUCUCCGUCAGCAUAAGGAAAGGCCAGAGAUGAGAGGGAGAGAAAUGGAUGAUGUUUCAUCAGUCUCAUUCCUUUUUGCCAUGUCAUAGUUUCGGUUAUGAUUCCCCCAGCCCAAAAUGUAACACUUCACUCAAUUUCUGCAGUAAAAUAACUAGAAGCUUUGUUAACAGGAUCCUUUGGUCAGCUGGGCUUUAAAUCAAGCCAGACAUUCAAAGUAGUGAUUUGGAAUGCCAAGUGUGACUUGCUAGGACUGCAGCCACAUACUGCAGUGUGAUGCCUUGUUUUUCUUACUGCACUGUGUGAGCACAGCCCCAUCCUGCCACUCAAGCCCAUGCAACUUUUGCUCUCAUGGCAGGAUCCAAGCUACUGCAGAGACCCAAGAAAGGGUACAGCGAUGUCACUGCUGUUUCUGUUGCUGGCAUAACAGCAGGCACAGCUCUGGGAGAUGGAUUGGUCUCAACAGGAACACAGGGCAGCUGCCCUCUCCUUGCAUGGCAAGCCUACUACCCAGCAGGCUUAGGGGUUACGGAGCUGCAGAAGACCUCCCAACCAGAUUUAUGCCUCCUGCAAACCUGUCAUUGUGCUCGUCAACAAGACAGACUGUCAUUAACUACACAGGCUUUAAAAGAGAAAUUUGGAAAGCCCAGUGUAAAUAUAAUCAUUAGAAAUGCAGCUUCUCAGCCAAACAACACAGAUGAUUCUGGAGUCGGUGUUUUCAAUUUUUAAAAUGACAUAUGGGAUUGUAUAGUCGUCCUGAUUUCAGCUGAGUUGCACCUGUUCUCUUCAGGACAGAUCUGAGUAGAAACAAGUAGGAUCCAACAAAAUAGCAUCAGGAGAAGCCACAGGAGAAAAGCACCAUGGCAUUUUUGAGGAUUGCUAAGUACCAGUUCAUCAAGAAAAAAAAAAGAGAAAAGAAAAAACAAACCAAUCUGACAACCUGAGCCUGAGCUAACUUGACAACACUAGAACAGGAUUCCUAGAGAGGUGGUUGAUACCCCAAGCCUGUCAGUGUUUAAGAGGCACUUAGACAAUGCCCUUAACAUGCUCUAACUUUUGGUAAA
RNA transcript from Corapipo altera (White-ruffed manakin), 3446 nucleotides. It is a transcript of the gene named serine rich and transmembrane domain containing 1, with no coding region annotated. The transcript has 5 exons. The record is from RefSeq and is a predicted model, not a curated record. NCBI's taxonomy places the organism in Eukaryota, Metazoa, Chordata, Aves, Passeriformes, Pipridae.